GUACUCUUAGCUUAAAAGGAUAGAGCUUUUGGCUCCGGACCAAAGGAUAUGGGUUCAAUUCCCAUAGAGUACA
This 73-nucleotide transfer RNA is filed under the name Clostridiales bacterium. RNAcentral describes it as "tRNA-Arg". It matches the Rfam family "tRNA". Rfam says of the family: Transfer RNA (tRNA) molecules are approximately 80 nucleotides in length. Their secondary structure includes four short double-helical elements and three loops (D, anti-codon, and T loops). Lineage: Bacteria; Bacillati; Bacillota; Clostridia; Eubacteriales. The record is from RNAcentral. RNAcentral also lists the same sequence under 1 other name.